Molecule: ribosomal RNA, 452 nt
Filed under: uncultured bacterium
Lineage: Bacteria
Description: SSU rRNA
Rfam family: Bacterial small subunit ribosomal RNA
Source: RNAcentral
AGGAUAAACGCUGGCGGCGUGCCUAACACAUGCAAGUCGAACGUCCUACGCAAGUAGGGAGUGGCGGACGGGUGAGUAACACGUGGGCAAUCUACCUUUCGGUGAGGAAUACCGGCGAGAAAUCGCCGACAAUACCGCAUACGCUUCGCAAGAAGCAAAGUCGCAAGACGCCGGAGGAGGAGCCUGCGCCCGAUUAGCUCGUUGGUGGAGUAAUGGUCUACCAAGGCGACGAUCGGUAGCUGGUCUGAGAGGAUGACCAGCAUCACUGGGACUGAGACACGGCCCAGACUCCUACGGGAGGCAGCAGUGGGGAAUAUUGGACAAUGGGCGCAAGCCUGAUCCAGCCAUGCCGCGUGGAUGAUGAAGGCCUUAGGGUUGUAAAGUCCUUUUAACGGGGAAGAUAAUGACGGUACCCGUAGAAUAAGCCCGGCUAACUUCGUGCCAGCAGCCGC